Molecule: unclassified non-coding RNA, 285 nt
Filed under: Hevea brasiliensis (rubber tree)
Lineage: Eukaryota; Viridiplantae; Streptophyta; Magnoliopsida; Malpighiales; Euphorbiaceae
Source: RNAcentral
CCUCGGGCGGUGGGGUUCUGUCAUGGUGUACUCACAAACUCGAAACAACUGAACUCGUGGGAACACGCUACCCCCGGCGGCUUAAAAUUUACCUAAACCCAAGCCUCCAAUACGAUUCUCCUUCGAUCUGCCCAAAACGGGACAGGCCGGUUCCGUUAAGAACCAGCCUGCGGGAUGCGAAAUGUUGUGUCAGAAUCGCGCCGUGUCAGCGGAUUGUCACAUCGUCAGCUCGACGCGGCCUGCUUCACGACGCGCUUGAUCUGAUCGAGCGUGUAGUUCUUGCCG